AGAGAAGAGAGUGGUCGUUGUGCAAAAGACUGUUUUGCCAUAUCAUGGCUUCGAGUGGGAGGUUCCAGUACAUGAAGAUGGUCCUUCUCCUUGUUAUACUGGAGCUCAUUCUGGGAAUCUCUGCAGGUUACGGCCGCGGAGUCCCCAUCUACAGCAAAUAUUAUACCGGAGGCGAUCCUAAUGGGCCGGGUCAUUAUUGCUGCCGUUAAAUCAGCAUUGUACUGUAUGUCUAUCAUUCCUCCCCGUUGAAAGAAGAUCUAGUGUGGAAGAAGGUCUGACUGAAGUUCGUCGUUUUGUACUCCCUUCGUCAGAAAAUAACUGUUGGUAAAACAGAUGUAUCUAGACAUAUUUCAGUGUUAGAUACACCCAUUUGAGCGAUGGUUAUUUUGGGACGGAGGAAGUUUUAGCUCGCCGCUUAUGUUCGAGUCCGGUAUAGUUCUGUUUCAGGUGUAAACAGGUCCUGGUUGCAUCGUGUUAGGCAUGUUACCGUGUGGUUUUGGGUGUCAAGUCCAUCUGUCCAAGUGAUGUAAAAGCCUUUUUGGCCUAUAUAAACAAAGAGAAAACCAAUGAAAAGACCAGGUUGCACACUCGUGCUUUUGUUGUAUCCGGCCGUUUAAUAAAGGAUAUCCUGUUACUCA
RNAcentral lists this ribosomal RNA (638 nucleotides) under Triticum aestivum (bread wheat). RNAcentral's name for it is "partial small subunit ribosomal RNA". Lineage: Eukaryota; Viridiplantae; Streptophyta; Magnoliopsida; Poales; Poaceae. The record is from RNAcentral.